GCUUCCAUAGAUUCUCCACCCUUCUCUUCAUUGAGCCUUUUCCUUCCAUUAGCAUUGCGACUGCAGCCAAUCUUCCACCAUGAAGAUGCUCUACGUUCUCUUUGCUGUUGCUUUCUUGGUCUACCAGGUCCAGGCCAAUCCCAAACCACCAUCCGAGGAUGAAGCCAAGGAGCCUCUUGACCCUGAAAUGAAGUUGAAAGAGGAAGAUGUUCCCCGCCCAAGAAAUGCCAUGGUAUGCAAUGCUAUGGGGGGGAAUUGCCGCUCCAGAUGUAAUGACAAUGAGAAGUCUAUUGGAAAAUGCUUUGCAAGUAGGUAUUGCUGUGUGAGAUUCCAGUAGAGAGCCUGCUCAAGAGAGAUGCAAGGAAGACCAACAGUGUACGAUCGGAACAGAGGAAGAAUCCACCUCCCAAUCAAGAUGGAUUAAUGCUAAACCUCUCUUUUUUGAUUAAAACUGAGUUUGCUUCCAAUUCAGUGGCUAUCUAUCAUUUUAUUCUUCCUCGAAGCAUUUGAUCACUUAUAGUUAUCACUACCACUAAACUGCCAUUGUUGCUGUAACUACUACUACAAACUCCCCCCCGUGCCCCCAAUUAUCUGAAACAGUCACAAUAUUCUUGAUUUCUUGAUAUGAUUUAUUAUAGAGUGGUACAUCUGGAUGCAAAUGGGAUCCGUGCCGGAGCCCCGUUCGCAUCUAGAAGCAAACGUAACUAGCGACGGCACGUCUGUGCACACGAGCGUCGCUUUUAGCCGCUUCUGCGCGUGACGUCAUUUUGAGUAUCUGGCAUGUGCAAGCGGUGAAACC
This 799-nucleotide long non-coding RNA is filed under the name Podarcis muralis (Common wall lizard). RNAcentral describes it as "lncRNA (ENSPMRG00000000518.1)". Lineage: Eukaryota; Metazoa; Chordata; Lepidosauria; Squamata; Lacertidae. The record is from RNAcentral.